UACGUAGGGGGCAAGCGUUGUCCGGAUUUAUUGGGCGUAAAGAGCGUGUAGGCGGCCAUGCAGGUCAGCUGUGAAAACUCGAGGCUCAACCUCGAGACGUCGGUUGAAACCGUAUGGCUAGAGUCCGGAAGAGGAGAGUGGAAUUCCCGGUGUAGCGGUGAAAUGCGCAGAUAUCAGGAAGAACACCCGUGGCGAAGGCGGCUCUCUGGGACGGUACUGACGCUGAGACGCGAAAGCGUGGGUAGCAAACAGG
Molecule: ribosomal RNA, 253 nt
Filed under: uncultured bacterium
Lineage: Bacteria
Description: partial 16S ribosomal RNA
Rfam family: Bacterial small subunit ribosomal RNA
Source: RNAcentral